GAGCCAUUUCAGACAAGCUGCAAAGACAAAGAGGAGCGAGCCUCUUGUCUUCCCUCUGCUCUCCUUUGGAGCCAGGAUCUCAAAGCUCUUUUCUGAGGAGGACCAGAAAUUCCUGGCUUUCACUCUAGCACCCACUGCAUUACUGUUGCUGCUCUCAAGAGAAUUAAUUCAUUUUCCACAGCUGUGCUGUCUUGUAACUUGUUCCUACAGGACAAACCACGCUUGUCCUUUCUCUAGCCCUGAGAGAGGGAGUGAAUGUUACAUCCUGCUGAUAAUCUCCAGAAGUGAUCCAUUUCUCCCUAAGCAUUUUAGUUAAAUUUCCAAACUUUGAAGAAAAGGUUUUGCUUGGCUGCUGGCCACAAUGAAGUGGGAAGACAAAGCAAUAAUAAACCUUACCACCCAAAAUAUUGGAUCAUUUUUUGCUUCCAUUAAGGACAAUACAGCUUUAUCACUGACUUCUUCAACACAGAGACUGAUAUAGGUAACCCCUAUAUCUGGGAUUUCUUCCAGUAUCUCUUCAGUGGAUGGGAAAGACAUGCAGAUUAUGAGACAAGCAGCAUCAGUGGAGAGUAUAUGAAGACCAGCUUGUCUGAAAAAUGCACAAAACAUCUUCUCAUAGAAACCACACAGGCAAUCCCUUCACUGUUCUUGGUCUCAUGAGCGAGGUACCCUGCAGACACAGGGUCUGAAUCCCUGCUUCUCCUUGCAGACAUUGAGGCUUGAUGAUGGUACUUGCUCUGACUCUAAAGAAGGUUGCACUUCCCUUUUCAGUCUUUGACUCUGCUGGGAGCUGUGCUUCCAGAGAGGAGUAGAAAUUCUUUUGUUAAAGGAGCAGCACACAGCUAAGAAUGUAUCAAGAGACUGGUCAGGCAACUUCCUCUAAGGUAAUCGGAUCUCUUCUCCAGUCAGAGAGACCUAACACAUCAGUCUUCAUAUAUCAUCUUCAUGAGCUAAAUUGCCAGAGAAGUUUAUGAUCUAACUUCAGAAAAAUUCUCUGUGAAAACAAAUCAUUUAUUUUUCCAGAUGCCUGGACUGGAGAAUGCAACAUGCGACAUUCAAGAGUCCUGCAACCUCUAACCCAAAACAAUAUGACUAAGAUUUACACUACCAGCAGGCCUCUUUCUUCUGGGGGAGAGGAGCCAAGAGGGAAUUUCCUACCUCUUCGUCUCAAGCAGGAUUAUCUUGUACUGGAAUUCCAGAACAGUGUGAAACAGAAGGAAGCAAAAGAAAUACAAAACUAACAUGGGAAAUAUUGGGAGAAAAAAGUGGAAAGAAAGAAAUCCUGCCAUUUCUGCUGAUCUACUUGAGCUUUCAAAUAGUUUUUCUUUUUGAGCUCUCAAAUAUGAAAGUUCAAAAUUCAAUGCAUUCGCAACAAAUUUGGAUACAUGGCUUGAUAAGGAGUAUGGCAGCACAGAACACUGACAUUUCACUUUUCUCUGUAAUUGAUACAGUGGAGAAUGGAAUUUGUGUAAACAAACACUUCUUAAGUACUGGGAUUUUUCUCCUCUUUAUCAUCUCCUUUUUACUAAGAAAAGAAAGGGAAGGCCAAUGUAAUGGGAAAUCAGAAUGAAAGUGUUUUAGGUAAAUUUAUACACACAGAUUUAGUCUCAAGAUUCAAAAUAUGUAGCAAGGAUUGUAAAAGAUAGAUCAAUGUGGAUCCAGUCUUCUCAUAAAAGUCAUGGAGAGAUUCUACUUUAAAGGUCCCUUUACCCAUUCAAGCUAAUCUUUCUAAGCUCCCCUUGCAGAUUCAGAGCCCCAAAGCCUAUUGCUCUGCAUUGACCCUUAGGAGCCUUAGUAAAUACCUCUUUCCUUUGUGACAUAUGUCCCACUAGCCAUCCUCAUCAAUAAAGGUUCCUUUGAUAGCUCCUAGAGAGAAAAGGUGGGCACCCCUCUCACCAUAAAGCAGAUAGAGUAGACAAAGUUACAGAAUAUUGUGAUUGUAAUUUGAGUCACUUUUUUUUUUCCUUCCACUGCUAAAUACCUUUUCUGAAGAAAAUCCAGAGAAAGUUGAUCAAUUUGAUGAAAGAUACAGCAAGUUUGUGUUGGAGGUGUUAACAAUCUUGAUGUAGGUUAUGUCUAUCUCUCUCUCAAAAUAAAUAAAUAAAUAAAUAAAUAAUUAAUUAAUUAAAUGGAAUACCUGGAAAUAUACCGAUGAAAAGGCUCUGUACUUGCUUGUACUGUGGCCCUGUGUUAGCUGGAAGACAUAGAUAAAAAUGAUGUGUAUUAGGUUUAAGUUUUAGUUUGUAAGGAAACAAUUGACUGGGAACAAUGACUGGAAUGAUAAAUACCAGUGAGAAGUCUUAUGCUGGUAGUGCAUUUGCCUACACUGAUUUUGAUACACUAAGCACAUUAAAGUUGUAAGAAAGCAGUCAUCAAAAUAGGAAGAGAUAUCUGUCAUUAGUUUUUAAAGGCCACUGCAUGCAAUUUAUUUUAAGAACCUCAUUUUGAUGGCAUUGGAUUGGUUAUUUUAAUGUUUUCAUGUGAACUGUAGUUUAUGACGAACUGUAGCUCUAUAAAUAAUAUAGCCUCUUAUUCUUUGAUGCUUAAACCACUAUGAUUUCAAUCCAUGGGCAAUUUCAUUUCUAAAGAAUGCACUGGAAAACUGACAGCUACGAUAACAACACACUAAUGAGAGAAAUAGCUCAAUUGAGAAUUUUUCCUUGGCACGUGUUUUGAUGACUUUAUAUAAUAUGGAGCUUAUGUUGAUAAAAUGUAAAAGCAGAUCUCUGCUAUUAGUUCUUUCUUGUUCAUUGGGUAUGAACCAUACUGUGUAAAAAUUCAUGAGGCUCCAUACUUUUUCCCUUAGUUGUUAUGCCUGGUGCUGCAAUGGGGCAACUGAUAGUGGGUUUGUUCAGCUGUUUUCCAGUAUGUUCAGAGAACAUCAAAUAUUUUUUGGGGGGGAAUUAAAGACUUGCAUUGAUUCUUGCAGCUAUUUCUGUGAGCUUGUGAAGGCCAAAACAGACAGAAAUGCACAACAUGGGUUAUAGGGCUGUCAACAAUUAGUUGAAAAUAAGAGGCUUCUUUCUGUAAAGGCAGCCCUAUAUUCACUCUUUCCCCUUUUUCUUCAUGUGUCCAACCAUAUGAUUGCAGCAGUGAAGUUUCCCCAGAAGUCAUCCUGAACAGGGCUUCCUGUAGCUACUUGUGUAUCUCCAUGAGAAGUGACCAUCUGUAGGUGGCCUGUCAGAUAGGAUUUUGCCUUUAAAUAAAGAGCUGAAUCUCUACUGAUCAGCAGCAUCUGAAACACACACACUUUUUGUCAUGUACAAUACAAGAUCCAUCAAGUAAAGCACCUGGGAAGGACGAAGAGGAGCCUUUGGUCAUGCAGGCUGAAAGCCUGAUAUGCUUCAUUGGAGGUUCCAGCCCUGCAAGGUGCAUGAGAACAAUUUUUAUAUAAAUUAUUGUGCUGUUUAAAGACUUUAAAUUGAUUUUACCACUUCAGUUAAUAUCUGUAACUUAGACCUAAAAUCAACGUGGGUAGCUAUUUCACUGCACUGUGCAAGAUAUUUUAGCUGGGAAUGAAAGAUGAAGGAGAAGGUUUAGAUUAAACCAACAUCAUUUUCUUUGAUCUUCUCAUAAAGGUUAAUAAGGAAUAAUUAUUUGUUCCUUUAACUUUCAUGGUUUGAUUGCCUCCUUUCUGAAUCUGGUCAUCUUUAAAAAGCUUGGCUUUCAAUAGCCCUGUGAAAAAUCUGGAUGAGUGGUCUACUGCCCUAGGGGAGUUUCCCUAUGCAGAAGAUGGUGUGACCUCCACUCAAAGAGUUUGCAUAUAUAAUUGCAUUUGUGAUAGGCUCUGCUUGUACAUAUAAUUUGAAAAUAAUUAGAGGGUUGUGAAUUUUCUCUGAAAAUUUGACCCACUACAUUUUCUUCUCUAGUUUCAGAUCACUCAUGUGGAAUAUGCAGUGCACUUUCGUGUCACAGGACACUCAAGUUCAUCAAACGAAUUAGUUAAAUUAAGCAUUUAGCAAUAUUACAGACAGGAUAUGCCUGAAUUAUUUGGUCUUUGAAAAUGCACUCAUACGUAUCAUGUACAAAGCUCUAUUUAUGUGUAUACUUAUGCCAGAAUGUGGACAAUGAUUAUCAUGUUCUAGGCCUGUGUAAUCACACAGCUUGGGAAUUUUGAAUAACUUGCUGCUUGAUCUCCAAUGGGUAUUAAGCUUAUGAUGUUUACAGAAGGUAGGUGCUCCCUUUCUAAAUGUUGCUAGCUGCUGCAUCCCCACUCAAAUUUUCAGCAGGUUCCAGGUGGCGAAGAACAUACAUUAGUCCUCAGCCAAAUGUCUCCAAGUGUGGAAAAAUUUGGCAUCUGGCAGUCUCUGAUCAUGUGCUAUAUCCAAGUCAAGCUAACCAGCCUGGGCCUUUGUUUUUUAACUCCUGUGAUUUGACAGAUCUGGCAGCAAAAGUGCAGAAGAGUUGAUUGAGACCCAGAAAUCUGUAGCUUUGCUUAGCUGCUGCGAAGGUUGUACAGCCCUAGACAGGCUAGAGUAAAAGUCUACAGACUGGAAGGCUCUCCCAGGGUGGAGAAAAAGGGAAAUAGACUUGAAGGGGGAAUUACAAAUGAGCUGAGAGAGGAGCUCACUGACUUGGGAACCUCACUCUCUGGGGGAGUUUUACAAUGUCAUGGAAGACUCCGUUUUGCUUAUUCUGUUAGAAACUGGGAAGCCUUUCUCCUGGCUGGGUGAUUAUUUAACUUGCAAGGCAAAAGCCAUUUUCUUCUGGCGUGAGUCAGUAAAUUAGUCAUAUAGAUAUCAACAUGUAUCUGCCAAUGUAAAUCAAAGAAAUAGGCAUUUCCAUAUGCUUUUUGGCAUUCUAUAGUUCUUUCUCUAAUCUAUGUGACUGCAGGCUUCCUACUGCUACUCAGCAGUAACUAUCAAAGGGCAAGGAAGUACAAAGCUGAUACACAGUAAAUUAAUUAUAUUUUUUAAAGUUCAUAUUAUAGAUAAUUGAAAUACAGAACAAUGUCAUCAAAGGCAGUGCUGAACAUGGAAAAAUGAACACAUGCCUUCUGGAACAGCAAUGGUAUCUUUUGUGUUCUUAGAUAACAUUUCUGAAGUAACAAAAUAGGUUUAAACAGGAACUGUUUCUAGACUGUAGCUUGAGUGCCAAUUUUCAACAAAAGAUGCAUUUUCCAUGCAGUUCCUGAAUUACUAAAAUUGAGAUUUUCAUGUAGAAAUGCACAGCUGUUGCUGCAGCAGUGUGGUGUCAGUAAUUAUGAUUAAAACAGAAGAGGUACCAGCACAAGCAGAAUAACUACAUAUAUUUAAAUCUUUCCCAAAACCAAUAUCGUGGCAACUGAAACAAUGUAUGUAUGUAUCUAUAUUUCAUCACCUGCUGCAAAAAAUUAUUUAUUUGUGUUAUUAUUGCUUAUAGAAUCUCCAUCCCAAACCAGGACUCUACAGUCAUCUGCUGGUACAUAUCUUUCAUGGGAUAUGGGCAAAAUGGACACUAUGGAUAUAGUGAUAAUGGUCACUGUGCUUGGUUCCAGCCCAUCAAUAGCCUAAGUGCGAUAAAUAUUCUCUAGGUGUCACUGAAAGGUGUCACUUCCUCCUUUGAGGAAGGAUUCGAAGGGGCAUAUAAAUUAAAAGAUAAACUCUUUUCAAAGUGAGAGAUGAGAGCCAACACCAAAACCAAGUGAACAUUGCUCAAACAUACAAUGAGUAAAAGAUACCAGAUGAUAUUACAAGCAGAGAGAUGAGUCAGCACUAUAACAAUGAUCAGCAUCUUCGUGAAAGUGAAAUGGGGGCAUGCUACAGAUGAAGACAAAAAGCUUACACUUGCUGUGAUAGAGAAGGAUUAUCCAGUGAGUAGUCCCACAACUUCUGGUAAUAAUCUGAACAUGUAUAAGUGUUGGCCUCUGCUGAAAACGAGGUGUGAUCCGUACAAACACAAGAGGCAGACAAACCCCGUCUCAAGGAGUUUUGGCUAUACAUACUGUUAAUGAGGAUUUGGUAACUGAGUCAUGUGCAGUUGUUAGUUUAAAAAUCUUGGCCGAGCAGAGGUAUGUGGAUGAGUGAUAAUUCUUAAGAUGAGUAUCAGUUUUCCAUUACAAGUUGGGGCUAUAAUUUUCCAUUUAUUUUAACUUGCAUGAAAUUCAUUCUAAAGUCAAUCUUCUUGCAUCUGUUUUGCUUUAAUACGGAUAAAGUAUGCAAGUAGACUAGGAGCUACAGAGAUAAUCAGAAGCAAAAACUUGUAAUGGGUAGAGGAAGAGAAUCUAUGUGGUUAUUAAAUUUCCACCAAAAUUUUCAUAUUUCUCUCUUGAGACCAGAUAAAAAGGCCCAUGAAAUGAAAAAAGCCCUCGCACUAUCUUGCUUGGGCUUUGGGUUUGUCUCUCAUACCUUAUCAGUUGCACCACCAAGUAGACCAAAUAAAUCAAUGGGGAUGAAUAUUACAUUGGUAUGAAAUAAUCCAUAGGGUUAUGGAAGUUGCCACCAAGGAUGGAUUCUGUAGUACAGUUAAUUCACAAAGUCAUUCAAAACAAAAAGUGUGGGUGUUCUGGGAUAAUAAGGAUUCCAAUAAACCACUAUUGAUUUGGUAUGGUACAAAUAACACCUCUGAAAACACUGAUCUGAUGGAAGCACCUUCCAGCUGUCAUUAGCGUUCCACACUCCCCUGCUUGCAUUGCAUGUUUCAUUGCAAGCAUUAUAGCUUGACAACCUGCUAGGGAGUUUUGAAACAGGAACGAACAAAAGCAGAACAUUCUCUCAAAAAAAUUCAGCUCAUGCCAUGGUUAACUCAGCUCUUGUUUUUCCAACUACCCUCCAGACGUACCCCAGAUUUACAGUUUUCACAAGCAGCUUCUAAACAAGACAAAAUUUGUAUGUUUUAUACUUUUUUUUUUUGUCAGGGCAAUUAACAUAUAUUGUUAGUUCGUUGCCUGUUACAUGUGGAAAAAAUACAUGCUGUAGCUUGCCCCCUUCUGUCUUGUCUUUGUCACUUUGCUACUCCUCUGAGAAAGGCACCGGUCAGUCUCUUUGUGGCUGCAUAAGGAUGCACCUUGCCUGAAGCUGGGAGUGUAACAAGUGACAGUGAAAGAGGAUGGGUUGCAGGACAGUCUUAGGAGGACUUGUUUUGACUAAGAAAAAGGUCAAAUUCAGGUCAGCCUUUAAAAAAAACAAAAAAAAA
Anas platyrhynchos (mallard) is the source of this 7113-nucleotide long non-coding RNA. RefSeq lists it as uncharacterized. NCBI's taxonomy places the organism in Eukaryota, Metazoa, Chordata, Aves, Anseriformes, Anatidae. The record is from RefSeq and is a predicted model, not a curated record.